AGCUUUGCGCAGUGGCAGUAUCGAGCCAAUGAGGUUUAUCCGAGGCGCGAUUAUUGCUAAUUGAAAAAGCUCAGCAUAGAGUACUUGCUUAGUUUGCAGGAGGCCCUGUGUUCAAACUAUAAUAAGCUCUCCAGAAAAGAAAAAGCUUUUAAAAUCUAUUUAUACAA
Rattus norvegicus (Norway rat) is the source of this 167-nucleotide small nuclear RNA. Ensembl annotates it as U4 spliceosomal RNA. The record is from Ensembl. NCBI's taxonomy places the organism in Eukaryota, Metazoa, Chordata, Mammalia, Rodentia, Muridae.